UACGGAGGGUGCAAGCGUUAUCCGGAAUCACUGGGUUUAAAGGGUGCGUAGGCGGUCAGAUAAGUCAGUUGUGAAAUACCCCGGCUUAACCGGCGGAACUGCGAUUGGUACUGUUUGACUUGAAUCAGGUUGAGGUAGGCGGAAUGUGGCAUGUAGCGGUGAAAUGCUUAGAUAUGCCAUAGAACACCGAUUGCGAAGGCAGCUUGCUGGACCUGUAUUGACGCUGAGGCACGAAAGCGUGGGGAGCAAACAGG
This 254-nucleotide ribosomal RNA is filed under the name uncultured bacterium. Its description in RNAcentral is "partial 16S ribosomal RNA". It matches the Rfam family "Bacterial small subunit ribosomal RNA", at positions 524 to 776 of the family's 1533-position model. The record is from RNAcentral.